UAGGGAAUCUUCCGCAAUGGACGAAAGUCUGACGGAGCAACGCCGCGUGAGUGAAGAAGGAUUUCGGUUCGUAAAACUCUGUUGUUAGGGAAGAAAAAAUGUAUAGUAACUAUAUACAAAAGAGACGGUACCUAACCAGAAAGCCACGGCUAACUACGUGCCAGCAGCCGCGGUAAUACGUAGGUGGCAAGCGUUGUCCGGAAUUAUUGGGCGUAAAGCGCGCGCAGGUGGUUUAGAAAGUCUGAUGUGAAAGCCCACGGCUCAACCGUGGAGGGUCAUUGGAAACUAAUAAACUUGAGUGCAGGAGAGAAAAGUGGAAUUCCUAGUGUAGCGGUGAAAUGCGUAGAGAUUAGGAGGAACACCAGUAGCGAAGGCGGCUUUCUGGACUGCAACUGACACUGAGGCACGAAAGCGUGGGUAGCAAACAGG
This 429-nucleotide ribosomal RNA is filed under the name Verrucomicrobiota bacterium. Its description in RNAcentral is "Verrucomicrobia bacterium partial 16S ribosomal RNA". It matches the Rfam family "Bacterial small subunit ribosomal RNA", at positions 355 to 776 of the family's 1533-position model. The record is from RNAcentral. Lineage: Bacteria; Pseudomonadati; Verrucomicrobiota.